GCCCGGUUGGCCCAGCGGUAAGGCGUGUGACUUCUACUCGAUCUCGAAUCGAAAUCACAAGAUCGCGGGUUCGACCCCCGCAUUGGGUUCUA
Molecule: non-coding RNA, 92 nt
Organism: Kwoniella shivajii
Lineage: Eukaryota; Fungi; Basidiomycota; Tremellomycetes; Tremellales; Cryptococcaceae
Source: the annotation of a RefSeq genome assembly